UGCCUAGGACCCAGAGUGUAAUAAGACACUGU
Molecule: non-coding RNA, 32 nt
Filed under: Rattus norvegicus (Norway rat)
Lineage: Eukaryota; Metazoa; Chordata; Mammalia; Rodentia; Muridae
Source: RNAcentral